Molecule: ribosomal RNA, 433 nt
Filed under: uncultured bacterium
Lineage: Bacteria
Description: partial 16S ribosomal RNA
Rfam family: Bacterial small subunit ribosomal RNA
Source: RNAcentral
AACGAACGCUGGCGGCAUGCCUAACACAUGCAAGUCGAACGAGACCUUCGGGUCUCGUGGCGCACGGGUGCGUAACGCGUGGGAACCUGCCCUUAGGUUCGGAAUCACUCACCGAAAGGGGUGCUAAUACCGGAUAAUGUCUUCGGACCAAAGAUUUAUCGCCUUUGGAUGGGCCCGCGUUGGUUUAGCUAGUUGGUAGGGUAAAAGCCUACCAAGGCGACGUUCCAUAGCUGGUCUGAGAGGAUGAUCAGCCACACUGGGACUGAGACACGGCCCAGACUCCUACGGGAGGCAGCAGUGGGGAAUAUUGGACAAUGGGCGAGAGCCUGAGACAGCAAUGCCGCGUGAGUGGUGGAGGCCUGAGGGGUGUAAAGCUCUUUUACCCGGGAAGAUAAUGACAGUACCGGGAGAAUAAGCUCCGGCUAACUCCGUG